This is a non-coding RNA of Cordylochernes scorpioides, 71 nucleotides long. The record is from the annotation of a GenBank genome assembly. NCBI's taxonomy places the organism in Eukaryota, Metazoa, Arthropoda, Arachnida, Pseudoscorpiones, Chernetidae.
UCACCGUUUGCUUGGUGGUAGAAUGCUCGCCUGCCACGCGGGCGCCCCGGGUUCGAUUCCCGGCCGAUGCU